RNAcentral lists this ribosomal RNA (497 nucleotides) under uncultured bacterium. RNAcentral's name for it is "partial 16S ribosomal RNA". It matches the Rfam family "Bacterial small subunit ribosomal RNA", at positions 28 to 507 of the family's 1533-position model. The record is from RNAcentral.
GAUGAACGCUGGCGGCGUGCCUAAUACAUGCAAGUCGAGCGAACAGAUGAGGAGCUUGCUCCUCUGACGUUAGCGGCGGACGGGUGAGUAACACGUGGAUAACCUACCUAUAAGACUGGGAUAACUUCGGGAAACCGGAGCUAAUACCGGAUAAUAUAUUGAACCGCAUGGUACAAUAGUGAAAGACGGUUUUGCUGUCACUUAUAGAUGGAUCCGCGCCGCAUUAGCUAGUUGGUAAGGUAACGGCUUACCAAGGCAACGAUGCGUAGCCGACCUGAGAGGGUGAUCGGCCACACUGGAACUGAGACACGGUCCAGACUCCUACGGGAGGCAGCAGUAGGGAAUCUUCCGCAAUGGGCGAAAGCCUGACGGAGCAACGCCGCGUGAGUGAUGAAGGUCUUCGGAUCGUAAAACUCUGUUAUUAGGGAAGAACAAAUGUGUAAGUAACUAUGCACGUCUUGACGGUACCUAAUCAGAAAGCCACGGCUAACUACGUG